GCAUCCACUGAUGAGACACUGGUGCAAUGCUACAUUUCUAAGAAACAAACUCAUCAAAGUUUUGGAGCACAUUCACAACAAACUCUUUGGUGAAGCAUUCCUUUAAAACGAACAGGAACUGACUAAAACUUACUUUGAUGGUAGGUUUUUCUGCAUUGCUCUGGCAAUACCAAUAGACUGAGAUAAUAUUAUAUUUCUCGUGGCGCGCGGUGCUGAGCUCAUUGUACUAGAAAGCGCAGUACUUUCUGGCGUAUAUGGCAACAGCUUUUACAUUCCUGCGUCAACCCACAUCGUCAUCUGAAGGGUGACUGAUCAUUUCUGUUAUUGUGUUCAUAUUUUCUAGAUAGCCAUAGUCAUAGGGACAUUAGGUGGUAGUAGACUGACAUAUCUGUGCAGUAUUGGCAUUGGUUGGAUAGAUUUACCUGUAAAGUAGUAAAUGUUCAAUCUACAUUUACAGGAUUAGAGGGUUGCUUCUUGUUUCUCUGAAGUGAACAGAGUUGGUUUUGGGUGCGAUGGCUUCUGCAAACAGAGGCUGGUGAUGUGAAUGAACUGGUUCAAGAGGUAGACAGAGAAGAUCAGUCUGUUUUGUGGUCUAUUUGAUAAAGCAGGAAGCAUAGGUUACAUCAGCGCUCACCUUAAGCAGUGGCUUUGUAAAGUGUGUAUAGUUUGUCUCUUUCGAAAGAAUUGAAAGUGAAAGUAAACUUGUUCUGAUGCACACGUCGACAGCAUAUGAAGGAAACUAUCAUGCUGUAUGAUGUUUCACUUCCUGUUUCUGCUGCAGAAAAUGUAACCUUGUGCUUCCUUUUCUCGAAACUAGAAGAAGAAAUAACCAAACGUGCCUCGGUUAUCUGUGGUUGUGGUGAAGGCCUCUGUCAGAUGUCCCUUCAUCAGUCAGUCUCUCUGCCGUUGUGCUGUAGGCUUCUAGAGAUGCAUUAAAUAAAUCAAAUGAAAGAGAUUAUCUAUUGACCUUUUCUCCAAUCUCCAAAUGCACCAUAGAAUUUGUCUGUAUGAAUAUAUACUGAGAGUUGUGAAGUCAAACAACAGCUUUGUGGGAGAAACAGCCCAGAAUGAUAUCCAAUCAAAUCACAUUUCCACAUUUGAGUUGAUUUUAUGUUAAGCACUUUAGUUUUUGCUUGUUUUUUUGUUUGUGAAAAAUCUUAAGAAUAAAAUUAUUCUCAACUGCUAUUUAAUAAAGUAAAACAUAUUUUGUAUUCACACAAAUCAAAUAAAAAAAGACAAAUCUCUAAUUUUCUUCUUAAGGGCAAAAUGAGAUGUUCUCAACAAAACAUUUUCAGUAAUUUUAUGAGCUAGAAUUGAGAAAUGUCUUCUUCGAUUUAGACCCAAAUAUACUUUCAUUGCAUUGAGCAAAAUUCAUUUCAUUUGAAAGUCAGUAGGUUUGCACAAUUGAGGGUGAGUGAAUAAAUAAAUGGGAAUUAUGUUUUUGAGAGAACGAUCACUUGAAGAACCAAACGCACUCACAUCCAGAGCAUUAUAUCUCCAGUGCAGCGUCUCUUAUGGAGUCGUUCUGGAUGAAUAAACCUGGCUCACAGCCAGAGAAGCGCUGUCUCAUCUCUCUCGUGUGAGUCACUGGUCCUCGGGUCUGACGUCAGGAGUGUGUCGUCACCGCUGUGGCCCGCGGCCGCUGGGUCGGGAACAUGUGUCCUCUCUGCCGGGGCACGGAGGAUGAGGAGAGGAACACGGAUCGGGUCUCCCUGCAGGCCUCGCGCUUUUUAUAGAUCCCAGCCAGCUACAAAGAGACAGAGAGAGAUUAAAGAAGGAUGCUGGAGACGCCGGUGAAGGAAAUGAGGAUGUCUGAUUUGACUUUCUUGUUAUCCUUCUCAAAAUCACAAAGUGCAUGCUAAGAGCUUGUUGUUGUCCUUUAAACAGGAAGCUGCUAUCUAUAGAUCAGGCCUCGUGUGUUUAAAUCAGGCUGUUGUCACACUUAGUUUUGAUUGCUUGCUCUAAAGCUCCAGGAUUAAAUCAAGAAUCACUUUAUGGUUUAGUGCAAUCGUCAAGAUGCAACGGCUGUGAUUUCAUUUAAAUAUAUGCAUGUUGUGUUUUAGAGUAAAGCACAUCACUGUGUUCAUUUACACACGAGCAGCUCGUGAUCUGAUGUUUUCAGCGUCUUAAAGCGUUCUCAGUGAAUGCUGCUUCACAUGAAAUGCGUCACUUUAACGUGCAUUUGGGAACGCAAUAUGAGCCGAACGUUUCCCCAUAUUUAUAAUGAGAAAUGUGAAAUUUGAAUAAUGAAUAAUUUA
Long non-coding RNA from Carassius auratus (goldfish), 2258 nucleotides. RefSeq lists it as uncharacterized. NCBI's taxonomy places the organism in Eukaryota, Metazoa, Chordata, Actinopteri, Cypriniformes, Cyprinidae. The record is from RefSeq and is a predicted model, not a curated record. The transcript has 3 exons.